Molecule: long non-coding RNA, 1632 nt
Organism: Columba livia (rock pigeon)
Lineage: Eukaryota; Metazoa; Chordata; Aves; Columbiformes; Columbidae
Exons: 3
Source: RefSeq, a predicted model, not a curated record
CCUUUUGCUGGGGGCAAGAAGUAAAGAUUGCAGUGAGUUCAUGCUGUUCAUGGACUUGGACCUUGUGAUGGGGACGCAGAACAGCUUAAUGCUAUAGCUAUAAGGUAAUCCUAUAGCUCUAAGGCGCAGUUGACCUGUUGCAAUGUAGUUGGUAUCAGAACAUCUGUCUCUGGAGCUCCAGAGAAUUAAUCGUUCGAAGUAUUCCAUAUGCGGACGGCUCCUUUUGUCAAAAGUGGAGAUUUGUGGGAGAAAUCCAAUUGUAAAGAAGCUUUAUGGGAUUUUUAUCAGAAAGAGCCUGGGAAACAACUGUAUUUCAUUCAAUUAACUCUUUUUUCUUUGGCAAAAGGGUUGAUUUUAUUUUUUAAUGCAAAUUGGAGGAGUGUUUUUGACAGGAGUGAAAACAGAUGCAGAAGAAGUUCCCCAGCUUAGCUCCACGUGUAUUUUAGUGACCGAGAUGGCUGUAGCAUCGUCCUAACAAAAGCUGUCAGCAAAGGGACUGUGAACGUCCCUGAGAAGAGUCUUGCUCAGUUUUCUGGAUGUGGCGACAGCGCUGCUUUGAUUACAAGCUGGAGCCCAAGGUCGUUUUGCUGCCGGGGAAGACUCAGCCCUGACCAUCCCUGCGAGAUGUUCGUCCAAGGGUCUCACGAAAACGCUUCAGCAUCUUUUCCCCUAAUGGUUUUCCUUAAAGCAGGAAUGCAACACCCCUAAUUGCAAAUUAAGCCGAGACCGUCAUCACCUCGGUGGCUGCGGAGCACGCCUGAUUUGCAAGACAUGGAGAUAUUAAUAUUUCCAAACACAAGUAGGAUAGCAACCCGCUAACUCUAUAUAUAACACAUUAUAUAUAAUGUGCAGCUUAAUACCCUUUGCAUUUAUGUUCCUGUUACUUUUUUCGAUGCACAAGCAUCACUAUUUCAGCUCAUUCUGCGGGCUGUGCUGUUCCCCAAUUCCCUUCCACCGUAACACUGUGUAGCCAGAUAUCCCCCCAUUUACUAUUUCUGUACCCACCUGUUGUCUUUAUCCUCUCAAUCCAGCCCAUUUUUGUCUUUCUCCUCUUGAUCCAGCCCAGUUUUCAAGUUUUGAGCCAUUGGAAUGUCCCUCAAAGGGCUGGAUGUGUCCCCUUGUCCCAGCAGCAACGUCUGCCAUGGGCUGGACUCUCCGAUCCCCCUGUUUAGAAGACAAAACCACAAAUCAGUCUUGGUGUUUGGGGCAAUAAUUCGCUCCCAGCCCCUCCUGAGUGACCCUCAGCCUUUCUCCAUGUCACCUGGGACAGGACAGGACCACAGGAGGGGACAUUUCUAUUCCAACCCUCCUCUUAAACACAAUUUGCUUGUCAUUUCUCCCCCUUGCGACCCGCAAGUCUGAUUUUUAUGUACCAUGGUAAAUGUUGUGCCUUGAAAAGACCCACACAUGAAUAAGAAAUCAGGCUGUCACUCCGCCGUGCUCCUUUUAAAGAGAAAUUGCUUAAAGCAGCAAGAACGACGUCUAAUCUUGGGAGCCCAGGAGCCGGCGUUGGUGAGCGGCUGCGCGGGGUCAUUGCAGCUUGUGCUCAUGAAUAAUGAAUCUGAGACCGUCGCUAUGCAAAUGUCACCUAACAAGCUCCAAACUAAAUAAAAAUCUUGUUUAUUACGUCAA